UUAACUGAACAACUGCCAAUUUCUCAGCUGAGCGGAAUGUCCAUAAAGUUAGAAUAUGGUCAUAGAAGAACAACCUAAGCCAAAUGUGGCAACUCUCAGCAUGGCGGUGGGAAACAGUUGGGAGGAGGUAGAUAGGACCUGAAGCUUCCAAUGAAGCCAGAAAAGAGCAACCAAAGUAUUGGAUGGUCUGGCACAGUUGAGGUUAAUAAAACUCUUCAAAGCAGUGUGAUUAGCGUUAGUCUUCAAAAUGUCAGCAGGGAAAACCCUACUUCUUCUUGAUUUUAUGUGCUGGCUGCCAGCGGCCCUGGAGAGAGAAAGAGGUGGAAAAUGCUUCAAGGGUAUUGUCUGUGCCUGCUACCUUUCUGCCCUCUCAAGGUGGGGAAACAGAUUUAAAGAGGCUGGCUUGCCAAAGAACACUUAGAAGCAAGAGUUGAACCCAGAUCAUCUGACUCCAAAGAUUAUAUAAUAAUAUUCUGAAUCUGAAAUCUUGUUGUCUUCCUGCAUCAUGAUGGAGUGGAUGAUUCAAUAAACUCAGAAGACAUCAGUUUAAGUCA
RNAcentral lists this long non-coding RNA (554 nucleotides) under Monodelphis domestica (gray short-tailed opossum). RNAcentral's name for it is "lncRNA (ENSMODG00000045666.1)". The record is from RNAcentral. Lineage: Eukaryota; Metazoa; Chordata; Mammalia; Didelphimorphia; Didelphidae.